UUCAAUCUUAUUCGUUCGUUUGAUUGAUCAAACGGUUUUCAUUCAUUCUUAUUUUUUUCACGGCCCUAAACCUAAACUAAUUUUUUUUUCUUCAUUUUUUCAUCUUCUCAAUAAAAGAGAAGAAUGAACCCGCCGCCCUCUCUCUCGAUACCUCUCCAUAUUCUCUCCUCUCUUCCGUCUCUUCGCCGGCGACACCACCAAAAGGAACGAAGACACAGCAGCCACAGCCGUCGCCUUCUUCUUCUCCUCUCGAGCAGCCACGAACUGCAACCAGCAACAUCACCAACAGCUGCAGCAGCCCGCAGCAGCUUCUCCAGCAACUCCUCAGAAGCAACCAGCAGCUCAUCAGCAUCAACAGCAGCGACGAAAAACAGCAGCGGCAGCAACAAGCUGCAACUGGAAGCAACCACGGCGAGGUCGACGUUAACAGCAAGAGCACUGUUGCUCCACCGCUCCACCGACUAUGGCGAAAGACCGGUACUCUGAUCAGCGAACUAAAGAAUCCAUCAUAGUUAUUCUCUCCUCUCCAGCGAGACUUGAUCAUGGAGAUUUCAUUUUGUGAAGACGGAUCUGUCCCUGGAUUUGGAUUUCAAAUGCAAGACAUGAAGAUGUUCAUUUGGAACAGGAUUCAAUUGGUUUUAGUUCCGUUAUAUUAUUUCUAUUUGUGUAUUAUUCUUUCUUAAUUAUUUUGGCAUGUAAUAAUAAACUCUGUAUAUAAUAAAAGGGGGAGAAUACAUGGGGAGGAAAUAUACUUGCUACUUGCUUAUUUUAUUUAUUUUUUAGUUUAUCAUAAAUUUAUGUGUGCUUGUGAUA
This is a long non-coding RNA of Solanum dulcamara, 813 nucleotides long. RefSeq lists it as uncharacterized. The transcript has 2 exons. The record is from RefSeq and is a predicted model, not a curated record. Lineage: Eukaryota; Viridiplantae; Streptophyta; Magnoliopsida; Solanales; Solanaceae.